This 690-nucleotide ribosomal RNA is filed under the name bacterium IMCC7497. RNAcentral describes it as "bacterial SSU rRNA". It matches the Rfam family "Bacterial small subunit ribosomal RNA", at positions 39 to 742 of the family's 1533-position model. The record is from RNAcentral.
GCGGCACGCUUAACACAUGCAAGUCGAACGAGGUCCAUGGAGCUUGCUCCGGAAGACCUAGUGGCGAACGGGUGCGUAACACGUGAGAAAUCUGCCCCGGACUCUGGAAUAACAGUUGGAAACGACUGCUAAUACCGGAUGCCUUCAUUUGGCCGCAUGGUCGUUUGAAGAAAGAUUUAUCGGUUUGGGAGGAUCUCGCGGCCUAUCAGCUUGUUGGAGAGGUAACGGCUCACCAAGGCAUCGACGGGUAGCUGGUCUGAGAGGAUGAUCAGCCACACUGGAACUGAGACACGGUCCAGACUCCUACGGGAGGCAGCAGUGGGGAAUCUUGCACAAUGGGCGAAAGCCUGAUGCAGCGAUGCCGCGUGCGGGAAGAAGGCCCUAGGGUUGUAAACCGCUUUCAGGAGGGAAGAAAAUGACGGUACCUCCAGAAGAAGGUGCGGCCAACUACGUGCCAGCAGCCGCGGUGACACGUAGGCACCAAGCGUUAUCCGGAUUUAUUGGGCGUAAAGAGCUCGUAGGCGGUUUGGUAAGUCGGGUGUGAAAACUCUGGGCUCAACCCAGAGAGGCCACUCGAUACUGCUAUGACUAGAGUACGGUAGGGGAGCGGGGAAUUCCUGGUGUAGCGGUGAAAUGCGCAGAUAUCAGGAGGAACACCAGCGGCGAAGGCGCCGCUCUGGGCCGUAACUG